This 57-nucleotide transfer RNA is filed under the name Muntiacus reevesi (Reeves' muntjac). It matches the Rfam family "tRNA", at positions 8 to 63 of the family's 71-position model. Rfam says of the family: Transfer RNA (tRNA) molecules are approximately 80 nucleotides in length. Their secondary structure includes four short double-helical elements and three loops (D, anti-codon, and T loops). The record is from Rfam by way of RNAcentral. RNAcentral also lists the same sequence under 5 other names. Lineage: Eukaryota; Metazoa; Chordata; Mammalia; Artiodactyla; Cervidae.
UGGCUCAGAGGGUAAAGCAUCUGCCUGCAAUGCGGGAGACCCGGGUUCGAUCCCUGG